Molecule: long non-coding RNA, 2160 nt
Filed under: Pan troglodytes (chimpanzee)
Lineage: Eukaryota; Metazoa; Chordata; Mammalia; Primates; Hominidae
Description: long non-coding RNA NONPTRT016894
Source: RNAcentral
GAUUUUUCAGGCGCCACCAUGUUCCUCUCAUCCAGACGUCGGCACCCAAGGUGGAAGCAGGUCAUGGCAUGCCCGGCCCAGCUGCAGUCCGAGUGCAGAUCCCAUGGCGAGCGUGGGAUCCAGCCCAAAGCACAAGCCACGCACAGCCCGCUAGGUUGAGUGGGUAGGUACCUCCAACAGCCUGGAGCCGUGAGGCCUUGGGCAGGGGCGUUGCCGGCCGUGGAGGUCUCUGGCUGGCAAAGCGGCACCGAAAGAGUCCUGUGUCAUAACCAGACUCACUUGUAGCUUCUGUUGCUCUCCCUAGCUAUUUCCAAAGCAUCCAGGAUAGGUUCAUCUAAAGACAUUCUGACUCAUCUUGGACACGAUCCACUUACUCUGUGGACCCUGUUCACAGAACCUGGAGUCCCUGCUCACCUUCCCCGACCCCUUAUUGCUGGGUCAUGUUCACAAGUUUCUGUCUCUUUUUGUUCCCAGUCCCGGUACCAGCUCAGGUCCAGUCAGCUUCUGAACCUCUACUGUGCAGUGCCUGAGACAAGGUGGAGGAGACACGGACAGUAAAGCUCAGCCAGGUGCAGACUGCAGCCUGGAAGCAAAGGCUGAGACAGGGUGGGAGAGACACCGACAGUAAAGCUCAGCCAGGUGCAGACUGCAGCCUGGAAGCAAAGGCUGAGACAGGGUGGGAGAGACACGGACAGUAAAGCUUAGCCAGGUGCAGACUGCAGCCUGGAAGCAAAGGCUGAGACAGGGUGGGAGAGACACGGACAGUAAAGCUCAGCCAGGUGCAGACUGCAGCCUGGAAGCAAAGGCUGAGACAGGGUGGGAGAGACACGGACAGUAAGCUCAGCCAGGUGCAGACUGCAGCCUGGAAGCAAAGGCUGAGACAGGGUGGGAGAGACACGGACAGUAAAGCUCAGCCAGGUGCAGACUGCAGCCUGGAAGCAAAGGCUGAGACAGGGUGGGAGAGACACGGACAGUAAAGCUCAGCCAGGUGCAGACUGCAGCCUGGAAGCAAAGGCUGAGACAGGGUGGGAGAGACACGGACAGUAAAGCUCAGCCAGGUGCAGACUGCAGCCUGGAAGCAAAGGCUGAGACAGGGUGGGAGAGACACGGACAGUAAAGCUCAGCCAGGUGCAGACUGCAGAAUGGAAGCAAAGGCUGAGACAGGGUGGGAGAGACACCGACAGUAAGCUCAGCCAGGUGCAGACUGCAGCCUGGAAGCAAAGGCAGUGCCACCCUCUUUCGGGGCAUUUCUGGUCACUUCAGUCUGCUGGGGGGAUUCGGUGUCUCACCAGGAGACUCAGGCAUGGACCUGGGUUGCCACUUUCUUCCUGUUACAUGGAUCUCUCUACCAUGCCCCAGACCCAACACCUCCGCCUUCUCAAAGCUGCACUGCACAAGUUCUAGCCAGAGCAGCCUGGUAAGAGAAAGACGUCAAGAGCAUCCAAAUACUUCCUUCCAAAUGAGGAAGCCAAAUGGUCCUUGUUUGCAUUCAAUGUGAUCUUAUAUAUAGAAAACCCUAAAAGCUUUAUCAAAACAUUCUUAGAAUAAACAAAUUCAGUAAAGUUGCAGGAUACAAAAUUAACAUACAAAAACCAGUAACAUUUCUACAUACCAACCACAAACUACCAAAAAAUCCAGGAAAGCAAUUCCAUUUACAAUAGCUACCAAAACCAAAAAACAAACCUAGGAAUAAAUUUAACCAAUGAGGCCGGGCGCGGUGGCUCAUACCUGUAAUACUAACACUUUGGGAGGCCGAGAUGGUGGAUCACGAGGUCAGGAGAUUGAGACCAUCCUGGCUAAUAUGGUGAAAUCCCAUCUCUACUAAAAAUACAAAAAAUUAGCCUGGCCUGGUGGCACACACCUGCAUUUCCAGCUACUCGGGAGGCUGAAGCAGGAGAAUCGCUUGAACCCGGGCGUUGGAGGUUGCAGUGAGCCGAGAUGGCACCAUCGCACUCCAGCCUGGACGACAGAGCCGGACUCUCUCAAAAAAAAAAAAAAAAAGAAAAUUAACCAAUGAGGUUAAAGAGCUCUACAAGGACCAUUAUAAAACACUGAUGAAAGAAGCUGAAUAGGUCACACACACACAAAACGGAAAGUCAUCUCAUGUUCAUGGAUUGGAAUAAUUAAUUUGGUGAAAAUGACAAUACUACCAAAAGCAAU